ACGCUCGACACCUACGGGAGGGCAGCAGUAGGGAAUCUUCCACAAUGGACGCAAGUCUGAUGGAGCAACGCCGCGUGAGUGAAGAAGGUCUUCGGAUCGUAAAACUCUGUUGUUAGAGAAGAACACGAGUGAGAGUAACUGUUCAUUCGAUGACGGUAUCUAACCAGCAAGUCACGGCUAACUACGUGCCAGNCGCCGAGUAUNGNGGCGGNGNGAGAG
RNAcentral lists this ribosomal RNA (219 nucleotides) under uncultured bacterium. RNAcentral describes it as "partial 16S ribosomal RNA". It matches the Rfam family "Bacterial small subunit ribosomal RNA", at positions 328 to 538 of the family's 1533-position model. The record is from RNAcentral.